ACACCGAUGGUGAAGCGGUUAUCAUGCUUGCCUUCCAUUUAGAUUGGUAGCAAGCGGCAGGGGUUCGACUCCCCUUCGGUGUA
Tephrocybe rancida is the source of this 83-nucleotide non-coding RNA. The record is from the annotation of a GenBank genome assembly. NCBI's taxonomy places the organism in Eukaryota, Fungi, Basidiomycota, Agaricomycetes, Agaricales, Lyophyllaceae.